RNAcentral lists this ribosomal RNA (799 nucleotides) under uncultured bacterium. Its description in RNAcentral is "bacterial SSU rRNA". It matches the Rfam family "Bacterial small subunit ribosomal RNA", at positions 61 to 889 of the family's 1533-position model. The record is from RNAcentral.
GUCGAGCGAUUUACUUCGGUAAAGAGCGGCGGACGGGUGAGUAACGCGUGGGUCACCUGCCCUGUACACACGGAUAACAUACCGAAAGGUAUGCUAAUACGAGAUAAAAUACUUUUAUCGCAUGGUAGAAGUAUCAAAGCUUUUGCGGUACAGGAUGGACCCGCGUCUGAUUAGCUAGUUGGUAAGGUAACGGCUUACCAAGGCGACGAUCAGUAGCCGACCUGAGAGGGUGAUCGGCCACAUUGGAACUGAGACACGGUCCAAACUCCUACGGGAGGCAGCAGUGGGGAAUAUUGCACAAUGGGCGAAAGCCUGAUGCAGCAACGCCGCGUGAGCGAUGAAGGCCUUCGGGUCGUAAAGCUCUGUCCUCAAGGAAGAUAAUGACGGUACUUGAGGAGGAAGCCCCGGCUAACUACGUGCCAGCAGCCGCGGUAAUACGUAGGGGGCUAGCGUUAUCCGGAAUUACUGGGCGUAAAGGGUGCGUAGGUGGUUUCUUAAGUCAGAGGUGAAAGGCUACGGCUCAACCGUAGUAAGCCUUUGAAACUGGGAAACUUGAGUGCAGGAGAGGAGAGUGGAAUUCCUAGUGUAGCGGUGAAAUGCGUAGAUAUUAGGAGGAACACCAGUUGCGAAGGCGGCUCUCUGGACUGUAACUGACACUGAGGCACGAAAGCGUGGGGAGCAAACAGGAUUAGAUACCCUGGUAGUCCACGCCGUAAACGAUGAGUACUAGCUGUCGGAGGUUACCCCCUUCGGUGGCGCAGCUAACGCAUUAAGUACUCCGCCUGGGAAGUACGCUCGC